This 23-nucleotide small nuclear RNA is filed under the name Arabidopsis thaliana (thale cress). RNAcentral's name for it is "snRNA_08794". Lineage: Eukaryota; Viridiplantae; Streptophyta; Magnoliopsida; Brassicales; Brassicaceae. The record is from RNAcentral.
UUUCAAACAAACAAAUUAGUAUU